RNAcentral lists this long non-coding RNA (319 nucleotides) under Trifolium pratense (red clover). RNAcentral describes it as "long non-coding RNA (TPRA_LNC008487)". The record is from RNAcentral. Lineage: Eukaryota; Viridiplantae; Streptophyta; Magnoliopsida; Fabales; Fabaceae.
UCCCAACAGAAAGGCAAAAGUAUAUUCUUCUUCUUCCUUAUGCACAACAGUAGCAGUGCAAGUGCUUCUCCAAAUACCAAUAAAUAAAUAAAUAAAUUAAGCUGACCAGCACGAAUUGCCUGCCACAAGAAUCCAAAGCCACACAAACAAACAAAAAACAAACAAUUAAAUAUGAACUUAUAUUCUCCUAUAUUAAGUUUAUCACACUCACGCUCAUAGAUUAGUCACUGCUAUCAAACAUCUUAUAACUGUCGGUAUAACUUCAUUUGUAGGGAUCUCAACUCUCCACUUAAAAGUGUUUCAUUCUAGUCACUAAUUU